RNAcentral lists this small nuclear RNA (153 nucleotides) under Chinchilla lanigera (long-tailed chinchilla). Its description in RNAcentral is "U1 spliceosomal RNA (ENSCLAG00000020110.1)". It matches the Rfam family "U1 spliceosomal RNA". From Rfam's summary of the family: U1 is a small nuclear RNA (snRNA) component of the spliceosome (involved in pre-mRNA splicing). Its 5' end forms complementary base pairs with the 5' splice junction, thus defining the 5' donor site of an intron. The record is from Rfam by way of RNAcentral. Lineage: Eukaryota; Metazoa; Chordata; Mammalia; Rodentia; Chinchillidae.
AUACUUACCUGGCCAGGGAGAUAGGAUGAUGAUGAAGGUUGUUUUCCCAGGGUAAGGCUUAUCCAUUGUACUCCGGACGUGGAUUUUGCCAAGUGUGGUAAACUCAACUGCAUAAUUUGUGGUAGUGGGGGACUGCAUUAGUGCUCUUCCUUG